RNAcentral lists this ribosomal RNA (310 nucleotides) under uncultured bacterium. RNAcentral's name for it is "partial 16S ribosomal RNA". It matches the Rfam family "Bacterial small subunit ribosomal RNA", at positions 503 to 807 of the family's 1533-position model. The record is from RNAcentral.
AAGAGACAGCAGUAGCCACGGUAACACCGAGGGUGCGAGCGUUAAUCGGAUUUACUGGGCGUAAAGCGUGCGUAGGCGGCUUCUUAAGUCGGAUGUGAAAUCCCUGAGCUUAACUUAGGAAUUGCAUUCGAUACUGGGAAGCUAGAGUAUGGGAGAGGAUGGUAGAAUUCCAGGUGUAGCGGUGAAAUGCGUAGAGAUCUGGAGGAAUACCGAUGGCGAAGGCAGCCAUCUGGCCUAAUACUGACGCUGAGGUACGAAAGCAUGGGGAGCAAACAGGAUUAGAUACCCCUGUAGUCCCUGUCUCUUAUAC